Molecule: long non-coding RNA, 1434 nt
Filed under: Pan troglodytes (chimpanzee)
Lineage: Eukaryota; Metazoa; Chordata; Mammalia; Primates; Hominidae
Description: lincRNA
Source: RNAcentral
GAGAGCUCUCAUUUCCCCCCCUUGCUCGGGAUGGUGCCACAGGAGGCUGUGCGGGCCCCGCUCCGCUUCGAAUGGAUACAGUUAAGCUAAUGAUCUCCAGAGGAUAUCGUCCUGGAUAAGGGUGGAGCCUACGCCCAAAAAUGAGAUUGCCUGAAAGAGAAAAGAAAGGGGGAAAACACACAGAGAUACAGUCAGGGAGGCCACAUGAAGAUGGAGGCAGAGACAGGAGUGAUGAGCCUGCAAGCCAAGGAAUGCCAAGGGCUGCCAGCAGCCAUGAGAAGCUGAGAGACACAGAGAACGAGUCCUCUGCCAGAGCCUCCAGAAGGAGCUAACCCUGUCAAUACCUUGAUUUCGGACUUCUGGACUCCAGAACUAUAACCCUCCUUCCUCCACCUCACAAAAACUCACAAGCUGCAACCCUUCUGAUGUCCACUCCCACACAAACCAGCUUCAGGCCUUUUUCAAGCUUGCUUGGAGAAUACUUCUGAGACUUUCCAAGAGUGCAGGAAAUUCUACCCCCCAAGUAUGGCACCUUGGCAUGCUGAGUAUUUUAAGCUGAAGGAAACAGAGAAAACCACAGAAGCAGAAAGGUCUUUCUGACCUCUCUUGAAGACCCUCAUGUGACAGGUGUCCUGCCCUACAUCCAGAGAGAAGGAAUGUUCCACAGAGAGACUAAGAAGAAUCUGAAGAAUCAGGCCUUACUAAGUGCCCUCCAGUGGAUGCUGUGGGGCACCACCUCCUUGAGGACCAAGGCACUCCAGCUGCCAGGAAUUUGGCUGCUAACCUCACACAGCUGAGCCUUCCAUGAAAAUUGCUCUCUGCCAAAGAGAACUUCCUAGUCCAAGGUCAUGUCUACUCUCCAGAGAAAUGCACUGACCCUGCACUCUACAGGACACUAUGCUCAUUCCGAAUGCUAAGAUGUGACUGGAGUGAUUUGCACCUGGAUGCCUAGACUCGCCAUCUGCUGAAAGACUGCUCAGAAAGCCCUCCCAUGCAUUCCCCUGCUGCAUACCAGCCCACUCUGCCUGCAGCUGCUGUCUGCAGGACUUCAUAUCUAUGCCACACUGUGUAAAAGCUGUGCUUCAAGAAAUCACAAAAACGUUUUCCUGCACCUACUACACAGCCUGAGUGCGGCAUAAGUUGACCUUGCUUGCUAAGAAAUGGGGCAAGAAAUGCUUUUUUGUGUGUGUCAUGUCUGUUUGUUUUUCAAUUAAGAGAGGAAAGCAUUAGGCAGAUGGAAUGUACAUGUGAGGAUGAGGAGACAGAAAACAAGUAGCCCUUUCCAUCAAGAUAGAGGGUUUUCUGGGGUUGCUGGCUGUUGAAUGUCACUCCUGAUUUCUCUUUCCAAGGCACUGUACCACCAGCCUACUGAGAUUGUGUGGGAGCUUUCAUGGGGGUUGUAUUUCACUGAUGAAAAUAAAUUUUGUGCAUAAU